This 31-nucleotide non-coding RNA is filed under the name Rattus norvegicus (Norway rat). Lineage: Eukaryota; Metazoa; Chordata; Mammalia; Rodentia; Muridae. The record is from RNAcentral.
UGACAGGCAAGCUCUGAUUCUCUUAUGCAGU